CGCCGGCUUGGACGUGCGGCGGCCCGCCGGGAUGGAUCCCCGGCGGGCCGCACGCGGUGGACCGUGCCGGUCCGGAUCAGCCGUCGGCGUCC
RNAcentral lists this transfer RNA (92 nucleotides) under Actinomadura sp. RB99. RNAcentral describes it as "tRNA-Ser". Lineage: Bacteria; Bacillati; Actinomycetota; Actinomycetes; Streptosporangiales; Thermomonosporaceae. The record is from RNAcentral.